UUGGAGGGCAAGUCUGGUGCCAGCAGCCGCGGUAAUUCCAGCUCCAAUAGCGUAUAUUAAAGUUGUUGCAGUUAAAAAGCUCGUAGUUGAAUUUCGGGGUUCAUCCGUUGGUCGGGCUUUUUUGAUCUGUACUGGCGUGAUGGAUUCCUACCUUCUGAAUAACCGGCAUGUCAUUAAUUUGGUGCGCCGGGGAAGCAGGACUGUUACCUUGAAAAAAUUAGAGUGCUUAAAGCAGGCUAUCGCCUGAAUACAUUAGCAUGGAAUAAUGAAAUAGGACGGCAUGGUUCUAUUUUGUUGGUUUCUAGGAUCACCGUAAUGAUUAAUAGGGAUAGUUGGGGGCAUUAGUAUUCAAUUGUCAGAGGUGAAAUUCUUGGAUUUAUUGAAGACUAACUUCUGCGAAAGCAUUUGCCAAGGAUGUUUUCAUUAAUCAAGAACGAAAGUUAGGGGAUCGAAGACGAUCAGAUACCGUCGUAGUCUUAACCAUAAACUAUGCCGACUAGGGAUCGGACGAUGUUAAUUUUUUAAUGACUCGUUCGGCGCCUUACGGGAAAC
Molecule: ribosomal RNA, 552 nt
Filed under: uncultured Acaulosporaceae
Lineage: Eukaryota; Fungi; Glomeromycota; Glomeromycetes; Diversisporales; Acaulosporaceae
Description: SSU rRNA
Rfam family: Eukaryotic small subunit ribosomal RNA
Source: RNAcentral